This 21-nucleotide microRNA is filed under the name Macaca mulatta (Rhesus monkey). RNAcentral's name for it is "mml-miR-7172-3p". The record is from miRBase by way of RNAcentral. Lineage: Eukaryota; Metazoa; Chordata; Mammalia; Primates; Cercopithecidae.
AUAAACCCUCAGAGAGUCACC